This 257-nucleotide ribosomal RNA is filed under the name uncultured bacterium. RNAcentral describes it as "partial 16S ribosomal RNA". It matches the Rfam family "Bacterial small subunit ribosomal RNA", at positions 524 to 777 of the family's 1533-position model. The record is from RNAcentral.
UACGAAGGGUGCAAACGUUGCUCGGAAUCAUUGGGCGUAAAGCGCACGGUAGGCGGCUUUGCAAGUCGGACGUGAAAUCCCUCAGCUCAACUGAGGACGUGCAUCCGAAAACUGCAAGGCUUGAGUACUGAAGAGGAUCGCGGAAUUCCCGGGUGUAGAGGUGAAAUUCGUAGAUAUCGGGAGGAACACCAGUGGCGAAGGCGGCGAUCUGGGCAGAUACUGACGCUGAGGUGCGAAAGCGUGGGGAGCAAACAGGG